GAUGAACGCUGGCGGCGUGCUUAACACAUGCAAGUCGAACGAAGCAUUUAGAACAUAUUACUUCGGUUUGAAGUUCUUUAUGACUGAGUGACUUACGGGUGAGUUACGUGUCGGUAACCUGUCCUUUACUGGGGGAUAGCCUCUGGACACGGCUUUUAUUGCCUCAUAAGCUCCCAAUGUUGCAUGACAUGGUGUGAAAAAUUUGGGUGGGAUAGGAUGGACACGCGUCUGAUUAGCUAGUUGGUGAGUUACCAGCCUACCAAGGCGACGAUUAGUAGCCGACAUGAGAGGGUGAGCGGCCACACUGGGACUGAGACACGGCACAGACUCCUACGGGAGGCAGCAGUGGGGAAUAUUGCACAAUGGAGGAAACUCUGAUGCAGCGAUGCCGCGUGAGUGAAGAAGUAAUUAGUGAUGUAAAGCUCUAUUACCAGGGAAGAUAGUGACGGUACCUGACUAAGAAGCUCCGGCUAAAUACGUG
This 481-nucleotide ribosomal RNA is filed under the name uncultured bacterium. RNAcentral's name for it is "partial 16S ribosomal RNA". It matches the Rfam family "Bacterial small subunit ribosomal RNA", at positions 28 to 507 of the family's 1533-position model. The record is from RNAcentral.